This 484-nucleotide ribosomal RNA is filed under the name uncultured bacterium. Its description in RNAcentral is "partial 16S ribosomal RNA". It matches the Rfam family "Bacterial small subunit ribosomal RNA", at positions 30 to 507 of the family's 1533-position model. The record is from RNAcentral.
AUUGAACGCUGGCGGAAUGCUUUACACAUGCAAGUCGAACGGCAGCACGGGGGCAACCCUGGUGGCGAGUGGCGAACGGGUGAGUAAUACAUCGGAACGUGCCCGGUCGUGGGGGAUAACGUAGCGAAAGUUACGCUAAUACCGCAUACGAUCUGAGGAUGAAAGCGGGGGACCUUCGGGCCUCGCGCGAUCGGAGCGGCCGAUGUCAGAUUAGGUAGUUGGUGGGGUAAAGGCCUACAGAGCCGACGAUCUGUAGCUGGUCUGAGAGGACGACCAGCCACACUGGGACUGAGACACGGCCCAGACUCCUACGGGAGGCAGCAGUGGGGAAUUUUGGACAAUGGGCGCAAGCCUGAUCCAGCCAUUCCGCGUGCAGGACGAAGGCCUUCGGGUUGUAAACUGCUUUUGUAUGGAACGAAAAGGCUCUGGCUAAUACCUGGGGCUCAUGACGGUACCGUAAGAAUAAGCACCGGCUAACUACGUG